Molecule: ribosomal RNA, 253 nt
Filed under: uncultured bacterium
Lineage: Bacteria
Description: partial 16S ribosomal RNA
Rfam family: Bacterial small subunit ribosomal RNA
Source: RNAcentral
UACGUAGGGUCCGAGCGUUGUCCGGAAUUAUUGGGCGUAAAGGGCUCGUAGGCGGUUUGUCGCGUCGGGAGUGAAAACACGGGGCUUAACCCCGUGCCUGCUUCCGAUACGGGCAGACUAGAGGUAUGCAGGGGAGAACGGAAUUCCUGGUGUAGCGGUGAAAUGCGCAGAUAUCAGGAGGAACACCGGUGGCGAAGGCGGCCACCUGGACGGUUACUGACGCUGAGGAGCGAAAGCCAGGGGAGCAAACGGG